GAAAGUAAGCAAGGGCGCAUGGCGGAUGCCUUGGCUCUCGGAGGCGAUGAAGGACGUGAUAAGCUGCGAUAAGCUUCGGGGAGGUGCAAAUAACCUUUGAUCCGGAGAUUUCCGAAUGGGACAACCCAAUAUCUUGAAGAGAUAUUAUCCAACUCAGUUGGAGGCUAACGCAGGGAACUGAAACAUCUUAGUACCUGCAGGAAAAGAAAAUAAUAAUGAUUCCCCCAGUAGUGGCGAGCGAACGGGGAAUAGCCCAAACCGGUUAUGUUACGGCAUAACCGGGGUAGUAGGACUACGGCAUUGCAUGAAAACAGCAGAGAAGAACUUUCUGGAAAGAAAGACCAUAGAGCAUGAUAGUUGCGUAUUCGAAUGUUGUCGAAGCAUAGUAGUAUCCUGAGUAGCGCGGAGCACGAGGAAUUCUGCGUGAAUCAGCCGGGACCAUCCGGUAAGGCUAAAUACUCCCGAGAGACCGAUAGUGAACCAGUACCGUGAGGGAAAGGUGAAAAGCACUUCGAACAGAAGAGUGAAAUAGUUCCUGAAACCGUGCGCCUACAAGCGGUCGGAGCAGCGUAAGCUGUGACGGCGUGCCUUUUGCAUAAUGAACCUACGAGUUACCGUUGCCGGCAAGGUUAAGGGUCAUGAGGCCUGUAGCCGAAGCGAAAGCGAGUCUGAACAGGGCGUAUAGUCGGUAGUGGUAGACGCGAAACCAAGUGAUCUACCCUUGAGCAGGUUGAAGUCCGGGUAACACCGGAUGGAGGACCGAACCAAUAAGCGUUGAAAAGCUUCUGGAUGACUUGAGGGUAGGGGUGAAAGGCUAAUCAAACUUGGAGAUAGCUCGUACUCCCCGAAAUGCAUUUAGGUGCAGCCUUGACCAUUACUAAUGUGAGGUAGAGCGACUGAUAAGAUGCGAGGGCUUCACCGCCUAUCAAGUCUUGAUAAACUCCGAAUGCGCAUUAGUUUGAGGUCAGGAGUGAGGGCAUGGGUGCUAAGGUCCGUGCCCGAGAGGAGAAGAAUCCGGACCACCUGCUAAGGUCCCGAAAUAACAGCUAAGUUAAACUAACGAAGUCAGAUUGCUAAGACAGCUAGGAUGUUGGCUUGGAAGCAGCCAUUCAUUUAAAGAGUGCGUAACAGCUCACUAGUCGAGGAGUUUGGCGUGGAUAAUAAUCGGGUAUUAAGCUGUUUACCGAAGCAGUGGGAUCAUAUAAUGAUCGGUAGGGGAGCAUUCCACUCUGCGUCGAAGGUGGGGCGUGAGUCCUGCUGGAGCGUGUGGAAAAGCAAAUGUAGGUAUAAGUAACGAUAAAGGGGGUGAGAAACCCCCUCGCCGCAAGACUCAGGUUUCCUGAUCAACGCUAAUCGGAUCAGGGUCAGUCGGGUCCUAAGGCUCAGCCGAACGGCGAGGCCGAUGGCAGAACCGGUUAAUAUUCCGGUACUACCCUUUGGGGUGACGUGGAGACGCAGUCGUGACAAUGCCGCCAGCUGACGGAAUAGCUGGUUAAAGGGUGUAGAAGUUGAUUGUGGCAGGCAAAUCCACCACAAGAUUCGAACCUGACAGUAUGGAGCGUCCUUCCGGACAAUCCAACAGUGCAUGUAAUCAUACUGCCAAGAAAAUCCGCUAAACAUAACCUUCAGGGUACCCGUACCGCAAACGGACACACGUAGUCGGGUUGAAUAUACUAAGGCGCUUGAGUGAUUCACGGUUAAGGAACUAGGCAAAUUAACCCUGUAACUUCGGGAAAAAGGGUCCCUACCCGUUAUCGGGAGGGCGCAGAGAAUCGGUCCAGGCAACUGUUUAACAAAAACACAGGGCUGUGCGAAGUCGAAAGACGCUGUAUACAGCCUGACACCUGCCCGGUGCUGGAAGGUUAAGAGGAGAUGUCAUCGCAAGAGAAGCAUUGAAUUGAAGCCCCAGUAAACGGCGGCCGUAACUAUAACGGUCCUAAGGUAGCGAAAUUCCUUGUCGGGUAAGUUCCGACCUGCACGAAUGGUGUAAUGAUCUGGACACUGUCUCAACCGUGAGCUCAGUGAAAUUGUAGUAUCGGUGAAG
RNAcentral lists this ribosomal RNA (2044 nucleotides) under gut metagenome. RNAcentral's name for it is "bacterial LSU rRNA". It matches the Rfam family "Bacterial large subunit ribosomal RNA", at positions 1 to 2058 of the family's 2925-position model. The record is from RNAcentral.